UGAGCCCAGCAGUGACAUCAGUGUCAAGCCUGGUGGGAGCAAGCCUCCUCCAGGAGCUGAAAUGGGAACCGAGAGAGGAAAAGGGUUUUAAGCUGUGCAAGAGUUCAGGGCAGCGCCCAGGUCUGAAUCAUUUCCUGGGCCUGGACAAAGGGGCCCCCGAGGAUGUUUCUGGAAUGAAUAAAUCCAAAGGGAUGGGAUCGUAAUUGCACAAUCCCAUUAAGGGGAGUCCUAGGCUGCCUGCAUGUUUUAUGGGGCUCUCGGGAAGAAGCAAGAGAGGCAGGCCAGCGCUUUCUCCCUGCUGUGGCUGGAGAUUUCUCUGCAGGUCAAGGGAACUUGCCACAAGGGCUCCAGGCUCCAGAUGCUGGAACUGAGACACACAGAAGUUAAAUGACAGCUAGAAGGCAGGUGAGCAGAUGGGGCCUGCUACGGACUGAAUGCUCUCGUCUCUGCGGAAUCAUUCUGGAAGCCCUCAUCCCCGCUGGGAUAGGAUGAGCCGGUGGCACCUUUGGGAGCCCUGCAUUUCGCGAGCGGGCCUCCUCAGGUGGACAGAGCCUCAGUGCGGCCGCCGGCCCCUUCCUCCUGCUUCCUUCGCCAUCGCAUCCCUCCACCCUCACGCCCAUUGCUUUUGCAGCAGGAGGGUGCGCACUCAGAGGUGUGCUGGUAAAGGCCUGGCAACGGCUCUCUCAUGGCUGACAGGUGCAGCGUCUGUAGAUGCCCGUGGUAUAAACACUCCUACCGUGGCCGAUGGUAGGCUACCAAGGCGAUGUCACCGGACGCGGAGUUGGGAAGAGACGUACCCUGUUAGGUCCCAUUUCCAGCAUAUAGAUACAGUAAACGUAAGUAACCUCCGGCACAGUGAUAAGAGUAAAGCGAUUAGAAAGGGCUAGUUUGUCAUUGCUUUUGUUUUAAAGAUAAUUUAAUUCAUUGUGAUAUUCAGUCUUUUCAUUUUCGAUAAUGGCUGUGUCUAACAACUGGCUCACAGAAUGCCAGAAAAUUCAAUGUUCAACUCUCAGCACCUGCUACAGGCCAGCUCCAGCACAUCCCCGGGCAUGUCCUGCUGGGUCCCAGCAGGUUGCAAAGGGGAAGGGCAUGCCCGGACACUAGACACAAGAUGGUUGCUUGACA
Long non-coding RNA from Ailuropoda melanoleuca (giant panda), 1125 nucleotides. RefSeq lists it as uncharacterized. The transcript has 3 exons. The record is from RefSeq and is a predicted model, not a curated record. NCBI's taxonomy places the organism in Eukaryota, Metazoa, Chordata, Mammalia, Carnivora, Ursidae.